Molecule: ribosomal RNA, 503 nt
Filed under: uncultured bacterium
Lineage: Bacteria
Description: partial 16S ribosomal RNA
Rfam family: Bacterial small subunit ribosomal RNA
Source: RNAcentral
AUUGAACGCUGGCGGCAGGCUUAACACAUGCAAGUCGAGCGGGGGAGGUUGCUUCGGUAACUGACCUAGCGACGGACGGGUGAGUAAUACUUAGGAAUCUGCCUAUUAGUGGGGGACAACAUCUCGAAAGGGAUGCUAAUACCGCAUACGUCCUACGGGAGAAAGCAGGGGAUCACUUGUGACCUUGCGCUAAUAGAUGAGCCUAAGUCGGAUUAGCUAGUUGGUGGGGUAAAGGCCUACUAAGGCGACGAUCUGUAGCGGGUCUGAGAGGAUGAUCCGCCACACUGGGACUGAGACACGGCCCAGACUCCUACGGGAGGCAGCAGUGGGGAAUAUUGGACAAUGGGGGGAACCCUGAUCCAGCCAUGCCGCGUGUGUGAAGAAGGCCUUAUGGUUGUAAAGCACUUUAAGCGAGGAGGAGGCUCUUUUGGUUAAUACCCAAGAUGAGUGGACGUUACUCGCAGAAUAAGCACCGGCUAACUCUGUGCCAGCCGCCGCAGUAA